GGCGUGUGACUGCGUACCUUUUGUAUAAUGGGUCAGCGACUUAUAUUCUGUAGCAAGGUUAACCGAAUAGGGGAGCCGAAGGGAAACCGAGUCUUAACUGGGCGUUAAGUUGCAGGGUAUAGACCCGAAACCCGGUGAUCUAGCCAUGGGCAGGUUGAAGGUUGGGUAACACUAACUGGAGGACCGAACCGACUAAUGUUGAAAAAUUAGCGGAUGACUUGUGGCUGGGGGUGAAAGGCCAAUCAAACCGGGAGAUAGCUGGUUCUCCCCGAAAGCUAUUUAGGUAGCGCCUCGUGAAUUCAUCUCCGGGGGUAGAGCACUGUUUCGGCAAGGGGGUCAUCCCGACUUACCAACCCGAUGCAAACUGCGAAUACCGGAGAAUGUUAUCACGGGAGACACACGGCGGGUGCUAACGUCCGUCGUGAAGAGGGAAACAACCCAGACCGCCAGCUAAGGUCCCAAAGUCAUGGUUAAGUGGGAAACGAUGUGGGAAGGCCCAGACAGCCAGGAUGUUGGCUUAGAAGCAGCCAUCAUUUAAAGAAAGCGUAAUAGCUCACUGGUCGAGUCGGCCUGCGCGGAAGAUGUAACGGGGCUAAACCAUGCACCGAAGCUGCGGCAGCGACGCUGAUGCGUUGUUGGGUAGGGGAGCGUUCUGUAAGCCUGUGAAGGUGUGCUGUGAGGCAUGCUGGAGGUAUCAGAAGUGCGAAUGCUGACAUGAGUAACGAUAAAGCGGGUGAAAAGCCCGCUCGCCGGAAGACCAAGGGUUCCUGUCCAACGUUAAUCGGGGCAGGGUGAGUCGACCCCUAAGGCGAGGCCGAAAGGCGUAGUCGAUGGGAAACAGGUU
RNAcentral lists this ribosomal RNA (844 nucleotides) under Escherichia coli. RNAcentral describes it as "partial 23S ribosomal RNA". It matches the Rfam family "Bacterial large subunit ribosomal RNA", at positions 588 to 1431 of the family's 2925-position model. Lineage: Bacteria; Pseudomonadati; Pseudomonadota; Gammaproteobacteria; Enterobacterales; Enterobacteriaceae. The record is from RNAcentral.